CUACGGGCGGCUGCAGUGAGGAAUAUUGCACAAUGGGGGGAACCCUGAUACAGCAACGCCGCGUGGAGGAUGACGCAUUUCGGUGUGUAAACUCCUUUUAUAUGUCAAGAAAAUGACGGUAGCAUAUGAAUAAGCACCGGCUAACUCCGUGCCAGCAGCCGCGGUAAUACGGAGGGUGCAAGCGUUACUCGGAAUCACUGGGGUAAAGGACGCGUAGGCGGGUUGGAAAGUCAGGUGUGAAAUCCUACAGCUUAACUGUAGAACUGCACUUGAAACUUCUAAUCUAGAGUAUGGGAGGGGGAGAUGGAAUUAGUGGUGUAGGGGUAAAUCCGUAGAUAUCACUAGGAAUACCUAAAGCGAAGGCGAUCUCCUGGAACAUUACUGACGCUAAGGCGUGAAAGCGUGGGGAGCAAACAGGAUUAGAUACCCUCGUAGUC
RNAcentral lists this ribosomal RNA (437 nucleotides) under uncultured bacterium. Its description in RNAcentral is "partial 16S ribosomal RNA". It matches the Rfam family "Bacterial small subunit ribosomal RNA", at positions 339 to 795 of the family's 1533-position model. The record is from RNAcentral.